CAGUCGCCACGGUAAUACGAAGGGCGCAAGCGUUACUCGGAAUUACUGGGCGUAAAGCGUGCGUAGGUGGUGGUUUAAGUCCGUUGUGAAAGCCCUGGGCUCAACCUGGGAAUUGCAGUGGAUACUGGAUCACUAGAGUGUGGUAGAGGAUAGUGGAAUUUCCGGUGUAGCAGUGAGAUGCGUAGAGAUCGGAAGGAACAUCUGUGGCGAAGGCGACUAUCUGGGCCAACACUGACACUGAGGCACGAAAGCGUGGGGAGCAAACAGGAUUAGAUACCCCGGUAGUCCCUGUCUCUUAUAC
RNAcentral lists this ribosomal RNA (301 nucleotides) under uncultured bacterium. RNAcentral describes it as "partial 16S ribosomal RNA". It matches the Rfam family "Bacterial small subunit ribosomal RNA", at positions 509 to 807 of the family's 1533-position model. The record is from RNAcentral.